GCUGGGGUUGGGGCUCAGUGACAGAGCUCUUGCCUCACAUGCAUGAGGCACUGGGAUCGAUCCUCAGCACCGCA
This 74-nucleotide transfer RNA is filed under the name Marmota monax (woodchuck). RNAcentral describes it as "tRNA.Val". Lineage: Eukaryota; Metazoa; Chordata; Mammalia; Rodentia; Sciuridae. The record is from RNAcentral.